RNAcentral lists this ribosomal RNA (355 nucleotides) under Ablepharus pannonicus. RNAcentral describes it as "partial small subunit ribosomal RNA". It matches the Rfam family "Bacterial small subunit ribosomal RNA", at positions 870 to 1394 of the family's 1533-position model. The record is from RNAcentral. Lineage: Eukaryota; Metazoa; Chordata; Lepidosauria; Squamata; Scincidae.
CGCCAGAGAACUACGAGCAGAAAACUUAAAACUCCAAGGACUUGGCGGUGCCCCAUACCAACCUAGAGGAGCCUGUCCUAUAAUCGAUAUUCCACGCUUAACCUUACCCCCCCUUGAAACUCAGCCUAUAUACCGCCGUCGACAGCCUACCUUAUGAAAGUAAUUAAGUUGGCACAAUAGUUAAUAACUAACACGUCAGGUCAAGGUGUAGCACACGGGGAGGCAGAGAUGGGCUACAUUUCCUACUAUAGGAAACACGCACAGUGCAAUGAAACACACACUUUCAGGCGGAUUUAGCAGUAAGACAAACAAGAACCUCUGUCUAAAACCUGCUCUGGGGCGCGCACACACCGCC